This 498-nucleotide long non-coding RNA is filed under the name Ursus maritimus (polar bear). RNAcentral's name for it is "lncRNA (ENSUMAG00000014205.1)". The record is from RNAcentral. Lineage: Eukaryota; Metazoa; Chordata; Mammalia; Carnivora; Ursidae.
CAAAGGAGUCCACAUAUGGUCUGAAAACUGCCUCCCUAAGAUUAGUCAACUGGCCAGCUGGAGCCCCAGGCCAGUCUUGUGCCUCCAAAGGAUUUGGCAGGUUGUUUGCAUGAAACAUGAUCACUACUACCGAGCCAUCCUUUUACUCCUGCUGAGUAGUGCCUGGCUGCAUCUUCAGUCUUUGUGUUGACAGCCACAUUGUUCCAUUCUCCAUAAGAUGAAGGACCUCUCGGACUGUGCUCCUUACCUCAUAAUGAGAAUUACCAGCAGGCCCGGAUGGAUUCCUAAACAACGUGAGCCUGCUGGCCUGGAAAAGUCUUUAAUAAUAAAUGAUGAGGAAAGCAGAAGCGGACUUUGACUUCUGGGCAUUGGAUGGUGGGCACAGCCAAUGUGUGUCUUGAAUGGAAUAAUGACGGUCUUAAGAUUCAUUUUCCGUGAGCCACCUCUGAACAUCACCCCAGUGAAGUCCUUUGGUGCCGUUUUGCUGAUGGAAGAAGC